Molecule: ribosomal RNA, 468 nt
Filed under: uncultured bacterium
Lineage: Bacteria
Description: partial 16S ribosomal RNA
Rfam family: Bacterial small subunit ribosomal RNA
Source: RNAcentral
GACGAACGCUGGCGGCGUGCUUAACACAUGCAAGUCGAACGGAAAGGCCCUGCUUUUGUGGGGUGCUCGAGUGGCGGCCGGGUGAGUAACACGUGAGUAACCUGCCCUUGACUUUGGGAUAACUUCAGGAAACUGGGGCUAAUACCGGAUAGGAGCUCCUGCUGCAUGGUGGGGGUUGGAAAGUUUCGGCGGUUGGGGAUGGACUCGCGGCUUAUCAGCUUGUUGGUGGGGUAGUGGCUUACCAAGGCUUUGACGGGUAGCCGGCCUGAGAGGGUGACCGGCCACAUUGGGACUGAGAUACGGCCCAGACUCCUACGGGGGGCAGCAGUGGGGAAUAUUGCACAAUGGGCGGAAGCCUGAUGCAGCAACGCCGCGUGCGGGAUGACGGCCUUCGGGUUGUAAACCGCUUUCGCCUGUGACGAAGCGUGAGUGACGGUAAUGGGUAAAGAAGCACCGGCUAACUACGUG